This 434-nucleotide ribosomal RNA is filed under the name uncultured Clostridium sp. RNAcentral's name for it is "partial 16S ribosomal RNA". It matches the Rfam family "Bacterial small subunit ribosomal RNA", at positions 341 to 792 of the family's 1533-position model. Lineage: Bacteria; Bacillati; Bacillota; Clostridia; Eubacteriales; Clostridiaceae. The record is from RNAcentral.
ACGGGAGGCAGCAGUGUGGAAUAUUGGACAAUGGGGGAAACCCUGAUCCAGCGACGCCGCGUGAGUGAAGAAGUAUUUCGGUAUGUAAAGCUCUUUAAGCAGGAAAGAAAAUGACGGUACCUGCAGAAUAAGCUCCGGCUAACUACGUGCCAGCAGCCGCGGUAAUACGUAGGGAGCAAGCGUUAUCCGGAUUUACUGGGUGUAAAGGGCGUGUAGGCGGGACAUCAAGUCAGAUGUGAAAGCACGAGGCUCAACUUCGUGUCUGCAUUUGAAACUGACGUUCUUGAGUGUUGGAGAGGCUAACGGAACUCCUAGUGUAGCGGUGAAAUGCGUAGAUAUUAGGAAGAACACCAGUGGCGAAGGCGGUUAGCUGGACAAUAACUGACGCUGAGGCGCGAAAGCGUGGGUAGCAAACAGGAUUAGAUACCCUGGUA